Molecule: ribosomal RNA, 269 nt
Filed under: uncultured Methanosaeta sp.
Lineage: Archaea; Methanobacteriati; Methanobacteriota; Methanomicrobia; Methanotrichales; Methanotrichaceae
Description: partial 16S ribosomal RNA
Rfam family: Archaeal small subunit ribosomal RNA
Source: RNAcentral
GCGUACUCUCCGGAGUGACGGGUACACUGUGGGGACCGCCGCUGCUAAAGCGGAGGAAGGAAUGGGCAACGGUAGGUCAGUAUGCCCCGAAUAUCCCGGGCUACACGCGAGCUACAAUGGUUGGUACAAUGGGUAUCUACCCCGAAAGGGGACGGAAAUCUCCUAAAACCAAUCUUAGUUCGGAUUGAGGGCUGCAACUCGCCCUCAUGAAGCUGGAAUCCGUAGUAAUCGCGUUUCAACAGAACGCGGUGAAUACGUCCCUGCUCCUU